CCUGCCUGUCGGUUCCCCUCUUCGCCGCCGCCCUUCUAUAUAAUGCCCCGAACCCUAGCGGCCGCACUCCCACACCUCCCCGACUCCGCCGUCACCUCCCCCUCCGCCUCCUUCCCACGCCGCCUCCGCUCGCCGCCUCAGCGGUUUGAGGUUCACCUGCAGCCAUGGGUAAGGAGAAGACCCACAUCAACAUCGUGGUCAUUGGCCACGUCGACUCUGGCAAGUCGACCACCACCGGCCACCUGAUCUACAAGCUUGGCGGUAUCGACAAGCGUGUGAUCGAGAGGUUCGAGAAGGAAGCCGCUGAGAUGAACAAGCGGUCCUUCAAGUACGCGUGGGUGCUUGACAAGCUGAAGGCUGAGCGUGAGAGGGGUAUCACAAUCGAUAUCGCCCUGUGGAAGUUCGAGACCACCAAGUACUACUGCACUGUCAUUGAUGCCCCCGGACACCGUGACUUCAUUAAGAACAUGAUCACGGGUACCUCCCAGGCUGACUGUGCUGUACUUAUCAUCGACUCCACCACUGGUGGUUUUGAGGCUGGUAUCUCCAAGGAUGGCCAGACCCGUGAGCAUGCUCUCCUUGCCUUCACUCUUGGAGUGAAGCAGAUGAUCUGCUGCUGCAACAAGAUGGAUGCCACCACUCCCAAGUAUUCCAAGGCCCGUUAUGAUGAGAUCGUGAAGGAAGUCUCCCUACCUGAAGAAGGUGGGAUACAACCCUGACAAGAUUGCCUUCGUCCCCAUCUCUGGUUUUGAGGGUGACAACAUGAUUGAGAGGUCCACGAACCUUGACUGGUACAAGGGGCCAACCCUGCUUGAGGCUCUUGACCAGAUCAACGAGCCCAAGAGGCCUUCAGACAAGCCCCUUCGUCUCCCCCUUCAGGAUGUGUACAAGAUUGGUGGUAUUGGAACCGUCCCUGUUGGGCGUGUUGAGACUGGUAUCAUCAAGCCUGGUAUGGUUGUGACCUUCGGUCCCAGCGGCCUGACUACUGAGGUCAAGUCUGUCGAGAUGCACCACGAGGCUCUCCAGGAGGCCCUUCCUGGUGACAAUGUUGGCUUCAACGUGAAGAACGUUGCUGUGAAGGAUCUGAAGCGUGGGUAUGUGGCCUCCAACUCCAAGGAUGACCCUGCCAAGGAGGCUGCCAGCUUCACCUCCCAGGUCAUCAUCAUGAACCACCCUGGGCAGAUUGGCAACGGUUACGCCCCAGUGCUGGACUGCCACACCUCCCACAUUGCUGUCAAGUUCGCCGAGCUUAUUACCAAGAUUGACAGGCGGUCUGGCAAGGAGCUAGAGAAGGAGCCCAAGUUCCUCAAGAAUGGUGAUGCUGGUAUGGUGAAGAUGGUUCCCACAAAGCCCAUGGUGGUGGAGACCUUCUCUGAGUACCCUCCUCUUGGUCGCUUUGCUGUCCGUGACAUGAGGCAAACGGUUGCUGUUGGAGUCAUCAAGAGUGUGGAGAAGAAGGACCCAACUGGCGCCAAGGUUACCAAGGCUGCUGCCAAGAAGAAAUGAUGUGCCUGUGGUUUAUUGUGUGUCUGCUUUUUGCUAUAGCGCCAAGGUUACCAAGGCUGCUGCCAAGAAGAAAUGAUGUGCCUGUGGUUUAUCGUGUGUCUGCUUUUUGCUAUACCUAGAUGCCGUCGUAUUAACGCAUAAGUUUUGUCUGCAUGUCAUUGCUGUUAUCCUUGAACAUCUAAGGUCUGCUGGUGGUGUGUCAUCUGUAUGUUUAGGUACUGUCUUGUCAACUUCAGCUUCGGCAAAACUUGAAUGCUCUGAGAUCUAUAUUUGCCCUUCUGCGUGUUGUCAGAUGUAUUGUCAGGAGUCGUCUAGUUGUCUUUAUACA
Molecule: RNA transcript, 1834 nt
Organism: Panicum virgatum (switchgrass)
Lineage: Eukaryota; Viridiplantae; Streptophyta; Magnoliopsida; Poales; Poaceae
Gene name: elongation factor 1-alpha-like
Exons: 3
Source: RefSeq, a predicted model, not a curated record